RNAcentral lists this ribosomal RNA (253 nucleotides) under uncultured bacterium. RNAcentral's name for it is "partial 16S ribosomal RNA". It matches the Rfam family "Bacterial small subunit ribosomal RNA", at positions 524 to 776 of the family's 1533-position model. The record is from RNAcentral.
UACGUAGGGCGCAAGCGUUGUCCGGAAUUAUUGGGCGUAAAGAGCUCGUAGGCGGUUUGUCGCGGCUGCUGUGAAAACCUAAGGCUCAACCUUGGGCUUGCAGUGGGUACGGGCAGACUAGAGUGCGGUAGGGGUGACUGGAAUUCCUGGUGUAGCGGUGGAAUGCGCAGAUAUCAGGAGGAACACCGAUGGCGAAGGCAGGUCACUGGGCCGCAACUGACGCUGAGGAGCGAAAGCAUGGGGAGCGAACAGG